GACAGAGGGGGCAAGCGUUGCUCGGAAUUACUGGGCGUAAAGGGCGCGUAGGCGGGAUGGCAAGUCGGUCGUGAAAUCCCUCGGCUCAACCGAGGAACGUCGAUCGAUACUGCUGUUCUUGAGGAUUGCAGAGGAGACUGGAAUUCCCGGUGUAGCGGUGAAAUGUGUAGAGAUCUGGAGGAACACCGGUGGCGAAGGCGGGUCUCUGGGCAAUUCCUGACGCUGAGGCGCGAAAGCGUGGGGAGCAAACGGG
RNAcentral lists this ribosomal RNA (253 nucleotides) under uncultured bacterium. Its description in RNAcentral is "partial 16S ribosomal RNA". It matches the Rfam family "Bacterial small subunit ribosomal RNA", at positions 524 to 776 of the family's 1533-position model. The record is from RNAcentral.